This 1338-nucleotide ribosomal RNA is filed under the name uncultured bacterium. Its description in RNAcentral is "bacterial SSU rRNA". It matches the Rfam family "Bacterial small subunit ribosomal RNA", at positions 28 to 1381 of the family's 1533-position model. The record is from RNAcentral.
GACGAACGCUGGCGGCGCGCCUAACACAUGCAAGUCGAACGGAGCUUAAAGAGCUUGCUUUUUAAGCUUAGUGGCGAACGGGUGAGUAACGCGUGAGUAACCUGCCCUGGAGUGGGGGACAACAGUUGGAAACGACUGCUAAUACCGCAUAAGCCCACGGCCCGGCAUCGGGCUGCGGGAAAAGGAUUUAUUCGCUUCAGGAUGGACUCGCGUCCAAUUAGCUAGUUGGUGAGGUAACGGCCCACCAAGGCGACGAUUGGUAGCCGGACUGAGAGGUUGAACGGCCACAUUGGGACUGAGACACGGCCCAGACUCCUACGGGAGGCAGCAGUGGGGGAUAUUGCACAAUGGGGGAAACCCUGAUGCAGCGACGCCGCGUGGAGGAAGAAGGUUUUCGGAUUGUAAACUCCUGUCGUUAGGGACGAUAAUGACGGUACCUAACAAGAAAGCACCGGCUAACUACGUGCCAGCAGCCGUGGUAAAACGUAGGGUGCAAGCGUUGUCCGGAAUUACUGGGUGUAAAGGGAGCGCAGGCGGACCGGCAAGUUGGAAGUGAAAACUAUGGGCUCAACCCAUAAAUUGCUUUCAAAACUGCUGGCCUUGAGUAGUGCAGAGGUAGGUGGAAUUCCCGGUGUAGCGGUGGAAUGCGUAGAUAUCGGGAGGAACACCAGUGGCGAAGGCGACCUACUGGGCACCAACUGAUGCUGAGGCUCGAAAGCAUGGGUAGCAAACAGGAUUAGAUACCCUGGUAGUCCAUGCCGUAAACGAUGAUUACUAGGUGUUGGAGGAUUGACCCCUUCAGUGCCGCAGUUAACACAAUAAGUAAUCCACCUGGGGAGUACGACCGCAAGGUUGAAACUCAAAGGAAUUGACGGGGGCCCGCACAAGCAGUGGAGUAUGUGGUUUAAUUCGAAGCAACGCGAAGAACCUUACCUGGUCUUGACAUCCCUAUGAAUAACGGGCAAUGCCGUUAGUACUUCGGUACAUAGGAGACAGGUGGUGCAUGGUUGUCGUCAGCUCGUGUCGUGAGAUGUUGGGUUAAGUCCCGCAACGAGCGCAACCCUUAUCUUUAGUAGCCAGCAGUAAGAUGGGCACUCUAGAGAGACUGCCGGGGAUAACCCGGAGGAAGGUGGGGAUGACGUCAAAUCAUCAUGCCCCUUAUGACCAGGGCUACACACGUGCUACAAUGGCGUAAACAAAGAGAAGCGAAGUCGUGGGGCAGAGCGAAUCUCAAAAAUAACGUCUCAGUUCGGAUUGUAGUCUGCAACUCGACUACAUGAAGCUGGAAUCGCUAGUAAUCGCAGAUCAGAAUGCUGCGGUGAAUACGUUCCCGGGUCU